Molecule: ribosomal RNA, 467 nt
Filed under: uncultured bacterium
Lineage: Bacteria
Description: partial 16S ribosomal RNA
Rfam family: Bacterial small subunit ribosomal RNA
Source: RNAcentral
GACGAACGCUGGCGGCGUGCUUAACACAUGCAAGUCGAACGGAAAGGCCCUGCUUUUGUGGGGUGCUCGAGUGGCGAACGGGUGAGUAACACGUGAGUAACCUGCCCUUGACUUUGGGAUAACUUCAGGAAACUGGGGCUAAUACCGGAUAGGAGCUCCUGCUGCAUGGUGGGGGUUGGAAAGUUUCGGCGGUUGGGGAUGGACUCGCGGCUUAUCAGCUUGUUGGUGGGGUAGUGGCUUACCAAGGCUUUGACGGGUAGCCGGCCUGAGAGGGUGACCGGCCACAUGGGGACUGAGAUACGGCCCAGACUCCUCCGGGAGGCAGCAGGGGGGAAUAUUGCACAAUGGGCGGAAGCCUGAUGCAGCAACGCCGGGUGCGGGAUGAGGGCCUUCGGGUUGUAAACCGCUUUCGCCUGUGACGAAGCGGGAGUGACGGUAAUGGGUAAAGAAGCCCCGGCUAACUACGU